GAGGGGCCUGGACCCCGGGACCCCUUUCCUCCCUCCUUCCAUCCCUCCUGUUCCCCGUGCCCAUGUGACUGUUUGCUGUGGCACCUUCUCAUGUAGACUUGAGCCCCUUUGACACUGGAAACCCAAGCCUGUUGAAAGGUGAAGCAGCUCUUCCUCCACCAACCCCUCCCUCGAUGUAAAGCUAAUUCAGCGUCUUCUAGUGCCCCUCCUGUCCUCGCAUCCCCACCUCCUCAGGCAGCCCAGGUUUGUUUUCUGACAGUGUCUCUCCAAAUGCCCUCAGAGGACAUGUUUCCAGGAUGACGUAGAGCGAGAACACAGGGGUAGACAAACCUGAAUUCUUCCUUGUUAGGUACUGAAGGGAAGUCACUCUGAAAGUCGGUUAUAUUGAGCAGUGAUUCUCAGGUCAGCUAACCAGCAGGAGCAGCUUCGCCUUGGACUGUAGUUGAAAUGCGAAUUCUCUGACCACAGGUUUCAUAAAAUAUCCUGUCCCGUCAAGUUUCUUUUUUUUAAUCGUUGGCCAGAUCUGGAUGGUUUAACUGUCUGUGUGAGAUGUUUGGCCUCAAGAUUAUGUUCGCCAUUGGUGGCUGCUUACUGAUGGCUACGUUUGUGCUGAUCUGUGUUGUCAUCUGUCUUUACUGCAAAUUGACCAACACACUGAAGUGAGUUAACGUGAGGCGUGAGGGGGAAUAACACCCCCUCAAGUGGGAUGCCUGGGCCCUCGGCUCCAGCAGGGUCAUUCCCUGCCCUGAAGCCACACCCCGGGUGAGUCAGGACCAGCAGGCGGUUUGAAAAGGCAAAGGCGGGGGCUGUGGAAUCCUGGCAGGGCCCCUCUGGCUUGGGGCUGUGAGCUCCUAAGCGGAAUGUCCUCAGCUCUGGGUGUCAGAGCUGCUUUGCUGUCCGCGGGCCUCACCGAGUUCCCCUCAGCGGGUGGCUUCACACGCUGGCGGGGCCUUCCCUCCGCCCAGGCGCGGCCCCCUGGGGGCUGUGGGGGGGCAGGUGAGUGAGUCUGCCUCUGGCACGCCAGGGGACGGCUGCCUGGGGCUCCUGCCCGAGCCGGGGAGCUCUCGGGGUGUCCCCUCAUUCAUUGCCCAUGGCCUUGGGGACUGUGGGGUGCGCCUAGAAGACUGUGGGGAAGCUGAGCUUAUUCCCGGGGACACAUGACAAGACAGUGUACAUCAGACAAGAGAUAAUUAAAUGUGGGGGAAGGCAACCUUCAAAUAUGGGAGAGAUGGGUUAUCAGAAGCAGCGGUGUUCCCAUGGCAGGGAAGUCAAGCCUGUGAGCUAGAAGGCUGAUGGCCAGAGCCUGGGGACGGCUGGCGGCGGUGCCCUCCGGUCAUUCUCACACUGGGCAGACCUGCUGGAUGACCCAUACUUGCAAUUCCCUCUCUGUUAUUUGCUGUAACCUGAUUUUAUAUUUCUAGCAAUCUUAGGAGGGGAAGGGAUCAAAUAGGAAAUUAGGACAGGGACAGACAGCUUUAGCGGUGGGCUGGUGUCACCUGUGCGAUGGUUGUAGCUCUAAACUUCCCAGCCAGCCCUGGCAAUUGUACCAAAUGGACUGACAGGAAAACUCUUAACUCCAUGCAUUGUGUAUGUCU
Molecule: non-coding RNA, 1595 nt
Organism: Manis javanica (Malayan pangolin)
Lineage: Eukaryota; Metazoa; Chordata; Mammalia; Pholidota; Manidae
Source: RefSeq, a predicted model, not a curated record